AGUGAACGCUGGCGGCAGGCCUAACACAUGCAAGUCGAGCGGCAGCGCGUCCGACCACCCUCGGGUGGUCGGAUGGCGGCGAGCGGCGGACGGGUGAGGAAUGCAUCGGAAUCUGCCUCGUUGUGGGGGAUAACGUAGGGAAACUUACGCUAAUACCGCAUACGACCUACGGGUGAAAGUGGGGGACCUUCGGGCCUCACGCGAUGAGAUGAGCCGAUGGCCGGAUUAGCUAGUUGGCGGGGUAAAGGCCCACCAAGGCGACGAUCCGUAGCUGGUCUGAGAGGAUGAUCAGCCACACUGGAACUGAGACACGGCCCAGACUCCUACGGGAGGCAGCAGUGGGGAAUAUUGGACAAUGGGCGCAAGCCUGAUCCAGCAAUGCCGCGUGUGUGAAGAAGGCCUGCGGGUUUGUAAAGCACUUUCAGUGGGGAAGAACGGGCCAAGGUUAAUACCCCUGGCUUCUCGACGUUACCCACAGAAGAAGCACC
Molecule: ribosomal RNA, 488 nt
Filed under: uncultured bacterium
Lineage: Bacteria
Description: bacterial SSU rRNA
Rfam family: Bacterial small subunit ribosomal RNA
Source: RNAcentral